CCCUUAGACGUUCUGGGCCGCACGCGCGCUACACUGACCAGUGCAACAAGCAUCCGUCCUUGGCCGACAGGCCCGGGCAAUCUUUGAACGCUGGUCGUGAUGGGGAUAGACUUUUGCAAUUUUUGGUCUUCAACGAGGAAUUCCUAGUAAACGCAAGUCAUCAACUUGCAUUGAUUACGCCCCUGCCCUUUGUACACACCGCCCGUCGCUACUACCGAUUGAACGUUUUAGUGAGGUACUCGGACUGAGCCUCAGAAGAUUCACGUCUUUUGUGCUGCUCGGGAAGAUUCCCAAACUUGAGCGUUUAGAGGAAGUAAAAGUCGUAACA
Molecule: ribosomal RNA, 328 nt
Filed under: uncultured eukaryote
Lineage: Eukaryota
Description: partial 18S ribosomal RNA
Rfam family: Eukaryotic small subunit ribosomal RNA
Source: RNAcentral